AACAAAAUAGUUUAAUGAAAAAAUAUUGGGUUUGCGUCUCAAAGAUGGAUUGUGGUUCUGUUGUUA
This 66-nucleotide transfer RNA is filed under the name Hydatigera taeniaeformis. Its description in RNAcentral is "tRNA-Ala". RNAcentral also lists the same sequence under 1 other name. Lineage: Eukaryota; Metazoa; Platyhelminthes; Cestoda; Cyclophyllidea; Taeniidae. The record is from RNAcentral.